CCUCUCUCCACUCUCUCUCUUUCCUCCAUUGAAGCGUACUCGACAUUCUCCAUUGAAGGGGCUUCUGAUUUGCAAGUGCCCACUGUCGACCAUUGCUGGUUCUUCCUCUAAUUGUCGGUGCUAGUGGUGGUGGGUUCCAUCUUCUAAUUGUCUCAAGCACCACUGGAUGUGUUUGCAAGUGCCCACCGUCGACCAUUGCUGGUUCUGCCUGCUCCGGUCGCACGCACCACCGUCCUUGUGCUCUACCACCACCGUCCAACAGCUGGCCACCAGAUAAGACUUGAAGAAAGGCAUUCAUGUUGAAAACCUAACUGAGUUAGAGGUCACUAGUGCUCGAGAUGUUAUGCAACAGCUUCUUCUGGGUGCUGCAAGGUGGCUGCCACUAACAUGAAUAGAGCAAGUAGUCAUUCUCACAGUGUAUUCACCUGUGUUAUUGAGAGUACUUGGGAAUCCCAAGGUGUAACACAUAAUCGCUUUGCUCGACUAAAUCUUAUAGAUUUAGCUGGCUCUGAAAGGAAAAAGAGUUCUGGUGCAGAAGGUGACCGUCUUAAAGAAGCCACAAAUAUCAAUAAGUCACUGUCAACUUUAGGUCUGUUUUUCCUUCUUUCAAUUAAAACUAUAUAGCAGUAGCUCACAGUAAAGAAUUUAUCUCUUGAUUGUCCUUACUUUUUAUAAUGCUUUAGACUCACGAUAAUGAACCUCGUGAGCAUAUCCAAUGGAAAAUCCCAUCACGUGCCAUA
RNA transcript from Chenopodium quinoa (quinoa), 740 nucleotides. It is a transcript of the gene named kinesin-like protein KIN-12E, with no coding region annotated. The record is from RefSeq and is a predicted model, not a curated record. The transcript is spliced from 5 exons. Lineage: Eukaryota; Viridiplantae; Streptophyta; Magnoliopsida; Caryophyllales; Amaranthaceae.